UGCCCUGUGACUAUAAGUUUAACGGCCGCGGUAUUUUGACCGUGCGAAGGUAGCGCAAUCACUUGUCUUUUAAAUGGAGACCUGUAUGAAUGGCAUAACGAGGGCUUAGCUGUCUCCUUUUUCAAGUCAAUGAAAUUGAUCUCCCCGUGCAGAAGCGGGGAUAGUUACAUAAGACGAGAAGACCCUAUGAAGCUUUAGAUGUAAGACAGAUCAUGUUAAACACUCCUUGAUAAAGAUUAAAACCAAAUGAACCCUGUCCCAAUGUCUUUGGUUGGGGCGACCGCGGGGAAACAAAAAACCCCCACGUGGAAUGGGAGCAC
RNAcentral lists this ribosomal RNA (320 nucleotides) under Etheostoma collis (Carolina darter). Its description in RNAcentral is "partial 16S ribosomal RNA". It matches the Rfam family "Bacterial large subunit ribosomal RNA", at positions 1860 to 2322 of the family's 2925-position model. The record is from RNAcentral. Lineage: Eukaryota; Metazoa; Chordata; Actinopteri; Perciformes; Percidae.